RNAcentral lists this long non-coding RNA (1215 nucleotides) under Homo sapiens (human). RNAcentral's name for it is "HSALNT0306440". Lineage: Eukaryota; Metazoa; Chordata; Mammalia; Primates; Hominidae. The record is from RNAcentral.
CUAUCCCAGAGGCUGCCGAAGAUGGGGAGCUGAUGUGAAAAUUGAAGCAAUUACCCAGAUCACUCAGGCAGAAGAAUGUCUGAGGCUUUUUUUCCCUUGAACAAUCCAGAUAAUUGCUUCAAUUUACACUUCUUACUGGUGGUGGAGAUGGGUACAGACAUAGCUCUCCAGGAAUGGGCUGAAUAGAGGGAAACGGUGCUUGGAAAAUGAGUCUGAUAACUCAGGGGGAGAAAACACUGGGAAAAAUUCACAUGCUUCGGCCUUGAUUUCUACCAGCCUCAAGCAAGUCAAAGUGAGACUGUUCAUUGUUGCCUGAGUGAUCUAGCAGCUGACCUGGAAUGAAAAAUAAAGGAUCCUGAACCAAAGGCUCCAUCUGCAAUGCAACAUCAUUUCUUUCAGGAUCACCUUCCUUUAACAUGUUCGGAGGAAGAAGCGUUGGUCUCACAUCCUCCCAAGGGAAGCCCACCUCUCCUCUGUGGUUGCAUUCAAAACCCUCUUUCAGCUUUGCUGUGGAAUGGCUACUCUGUCUGAUCUUAUCACUGCUGCAUCUCUGGGAUUCUGGUCCUCCUGCAACACGAUGCUGCUGUUGCUGCUGGCACCGCUGCCAUGUCCAUCUCAGCCAGGAGCUGGUGGGGCAGGAGACUGUUUUUGUCUUUGCCUUGGGCUGUAAUUCCUUCAAGCACCACUGACAGACUGAGGGGUGCAGAGACUUCACUGGAGGAGACUUUAUCAUGGGGGAAAAUCCUCAAAACUAGGUUCCAUUUUUCACUUUUCCCAGAGUCCAAGGGUCCAGGAUCAUCCACAAGACACAAUACUCCUCACCAGUACAUUUUCUGGAUGUUAUUUAUGGACCAAUAAAUUUUGAAUUGACAGUGGCAUCUAGAUCAGUGCUGUUCAAUAAAAAUAUCUCAUGAGCUACAUAUGUAAUUCAAACAUUUCUGGAAGUCAAUGUAAAAAAGGAAAAAGAAACACAGGUGAUGUUUUAUUCAAUUAUUUAAUAUAUUUUAUUUAACCCAAUAUAUCCAAAGCAUUUCCAUUUCAACAUGUAACCAAUAAAAAUAAUUAUUAAUGAAAUAUUUUACAGUCAUUUUCACACUGUCUUCAAAGUCCUGUUUGUAUUUUACACUGACUGCUCAUUUUGUUAUGGACAUUAAAUUUUUAUUAGAAAUACUUGAUCUGUGUUUAGAUUUUAUAAAAUUUACAGUUGAAAAUGUG